CCAGACUCCUACGGGAGGCAGCAGUGAGGAAUAUUGGUCAAUGGUCGGGAGACUGAACCAGCCAAGCCGCGUGAGGGAUGAAGGUACAGAGUAUCGUAAACCUCUUUUGUCAGGGAACAAAGGCGGGGACGUGUCCCCGGAUGAGUGUACCUGAAGAAAAAGCAUCGGCUAACUCCGUGCCAGCAGCCGCGGUAAUACGGAGGAAGCGAGCGUUAUCCGGAUUUAUUGGGUUUAAAGGGUGCGUAGGCGGGCCGUUAAGUCAGCGGUAAAAUUGCGGGGCUCACCCCCGUCGAGCCGUUGAAACUGGCAGACUUGAGUUGGCGAGAAGUACGCGGAAUGCGCGGUGUAGCGGUGAAAUGCAUAGAUAUCGCGCAGAACUCCGAUUGCGAAGGCAGCGUACCGGCGCCAGACUGACGCUGAGGCACGAAAGCGUGGGGAUCGAACAGGAUUAGAUACCCGCGUA
Molecule: ribosomal RNA, 463 nt
Filed under: uncultured bacterium
Lineage: Bacteria
Description: bacterial SSU rRNA
Rfam family: Bacterial small subunit ribosomal RNA
Source: RNAcentral